This 373-nucleotide ribosomal RNA is filed under the name uncultured organism. Its description in RNAcentral is "partial 16S ribosomal RNA". It matches the Rfam family "Bacterial small subunit ribosomal RNA", at positions 527 to 896 of the family's 1533-position model. The record is from RNAcentral.
GUAGGUGGCAAGCGUUGUCCGGAAUUACUGGGCGUAAAGCGCGCGCAGGCGGUUCUUUAAGUCUGAUGUGAAAGCCCACGGCUCAACCGUGGAGGGUCAUUGGAAACUGGAGAACUUGAGUACAGAAGAGGAUAGCGGAAUUCCACGUGUAGCGGUGAAAUGCGUAGAGAUGUGGAGGAACACCAGUGGCGAAGGCGGCUUUCUGGUCUGUAACUGACGCUGAGGCGCGAAAGCGUGGGGAGCAAACAGGAUUAGAUACCCUGGUAGUCCACGCCGUAAACGAUGAGUGCUAAGUGUUAGGGGGGUUUCCGCCCCCCUUAGUGCUGCAGCUAACGCAUUAAGCACUCCGCCUGGGAGUACGGCCGCAAGGCUG